CCAAAGUGCAAAUUUGGAGAAGAGCCCCAAUAGGGCUCCGGGGCUUCUCCCGUUU
This 55-nucleotide transfer RNA is filed under the name Garthia gaudichaudii (Chilean marked gecko). RNAcentral's name for it is "partial tRNA-Cys". The record is from RNAcentral. Lineage: Eukaryota; Metazoa; Chordata; Lepidosauria; Squamata; Phyllodactylidae.